This 325-nucleotide small nuclear RNA is filed under the name Castor canadensis (American beaver). RNAcentral describes it as "7SK RNA (ENSCCNG00000024452.1)". It matches the Rfam family "7SK RNA". Rfam says of the family: 7SK was discovered as an abundant small nuclear RNA in the mid-70s but a possible function has only recently been suggested. The record is from Rfam by way of RNAcentral. Lineage: Eukaryota; Metazoa; Chordata; Mammalia; Rodentia; Castoridae.
GAAUGUGUGGUGGAUGUGGCUGCAGCAUGUCACCCCAUUGAGCACCAUGGUUGAUUCAGCUGAUCUGGCUGGCUAAUCAGGUAUGCCCUUCCUCUCUCACCACUCCAUGUGUGUCUCGUCUCUCCCUAAGCUGUGUGCUCAGUCAAAGAGCAUGACCAUCCCCUGUACAAGUAGGACUGUUCUUCUGUCAAGGGUAUACGAGUAAUUGUGCUCUCCUGCUAGAACCUCCAAAUAAGCUCUCAAAGGAUGUAUGGUGAUAUAUGGGAUGUGACUAGGUAAACAUUUCUGGACUUUUCAACUUCUCCAUUUUAGAAAUUAGGGAAUU